Daphnia pulicaria is the source of this 674-nucleotide long non-coding RNA. RefSeq lists it as uncharacterized. The record is from RefSeq and is a predicted model, not a curated record. The transcript is spliced from 3 exons. Lineage: Eukaryota; Metazoa; Arthropoda; Branchiopoda; Diplostraca; Daphniidae.
GUAAAACUUGAUAACUUCAAAUUUCUUUGUAAGAUUUAUCAAGCCAGGUGAAGUCUGCGCUUCUUUGUUGCAGUCUUAUGUGCACAUGGAUUUGUUGCAGUCAUCCAGUGAAAGGUGUGAUUAAAUUGAGCUGUUGCAUGCAGUCUUUGGUGCUGAUGUUCUCCUGGAGUGUGGGAGAGUCCCAUGCUUCAAGUCUUCUGUGAUCAGCCAUAUCUGAGUUGACGCUGGAUCAUGCUGCAUUGUGGUUGCCAAAAUGUUGAACAUCUAGUAGAACUGCAAGAAGACUCCUUGAAAUGGUUUAUGUUUACGUAGUAGUGAUGUUGAUGUUGCUGUCCAAUAUGGCAUGUUGUUGCAGCCUAUACUGGUGAAAGUUUGUUUGCAUCGAGUUAUGCUGUUGCUGUUCCUUGGUGCCGGACUGUUGGUGUUGUGCACAAAAGUCACAUCCAGUUUUAAUUGUUAUUUGUCUCUAUGCAAUUAACCGUUUAUAUGUUCAGAAUGAAAAAAAUAGUAAUACGGGGAAUUUUUACGUUGAACAAAUAAUACAUAUGCCUUCGCGAUUGGGAAAUGAGUUAGGAGGAGAUUGGGGGGAGGGGGCAAUUGAUUUUCAUUAGCUAGAAGAAGGCGUAGUUUGUUUUAAUAAGGUUGACAUAAAAUCCUUCGUCUAUCACAUCCAU